This 1983-nucleotide ribosomal RNA is filed under the name Streptococcus sp. Its description in RNAcentral is "partial 23S ribosomal RNA". It matches the Rfam family "Bacterial large subunit ribosomal RNA", at positions 1 to 1925 of the family's 2925-position model. Lineage: Bacteria; Bacillati; Bacillota; Bacilli; Lactobacillales; Streptococcaceae. The record is from RNAcentral.
CCGCAAGAUACCACGGGCGCACGGCGGAUGCCUUGGCACAGGGAGCCGAUGAAGGACGCGGCAAGCUGCGAUAAUCCCCGGCGAGGAGCACACAUCCUUCGACCCGGGGGUCUCCGAAUGGGCGAACCCAUGCACAGCAGUGUGCAUAUCCCCACCCCGAACACAUAGGGGCGGGGAGGACAACCCGGGGAACUGAAACAUCUAAGUACCCGGAGGAGAGGAAAUCAAUCUCGAGACUCCCCGAGUAGCGGCGAGCGAAAGGGGACCGAUGGCCAAACCGUCGAGCGGGCAUACCCGGCAGGGGUUCCGCCGACGGGGUUGCAGGGCCGCGCAUCCGGGGGCUGCCGCCCCCGGGCGCAGGUCCGGCUGGGGAGCGGAACGGCAUGGGAGGGCCGGCCGCAGCGGGUGACAGCCCCGUACGCGAACCCAGACCGGACGGCGCGACGCGGUCCCUGAGUAGGGCCGGGCACGUGAAACCCGGUCCGAACCUGGGUGGACCACCAUCCAAGCCUGAGUACUACCCUGUGACCGAUAGCGCACCAGUACCGUGAGGGAAAGGUGAAAAGCACCCCGGGAGGGGAGUGAAACAGUACCUGAAACCGUGCGCCCACGAGCAGUCGGAGCAACUUUCAGUUGUGACGGCGUGCCUUUUGUAGAAUGAGCCAGCGAGUCGCUGGCGCGGGGCGAGGUUAACCGAAAGGGAGCCGGAGCGAAAGCGAGCCUUAACAGGGCGACUUGAGUCCCGCGCCGCGGACGCGAAGCCGGGUGAGCUAUCCGUGGGCAGGCUGAAGCGGGGGUAAGACCCCGUGGAGGGCCGAACGCACGUCGGUUGAAAACGGCGGCGAUGACCUGCGGAUAGGGGUGAAAGGCCAAUCAAACCCGGAGAUAUCUCGUUCUCCCCGAAAUAGCUUUAGGGCUAGCGUCGCGCGUUCACCGCCGGAGGUAGAGCACCGGAUGGACGAGGGGGCUUCGCCGCCUACCGAAUCCAACCGAACUCCGAAUGCCGGCGGCCCAGAGCGCGGCAGUCAGAGCAUGUGGGCUAAGCUGUGUGCUCGAGAGGGAAACAGCCCGGACCGCCCGCUAAGGUCCCCAAGUUCCAGCCGAGUGGCAAAGGAUGUGCGUCCGCCCAGACAACCAGGAUGUUGGCUUAGAAGCAGCCAUGCAUUCAAAGAGUGCGUAACAGCUCACUGGUCGAGUGGACAUGCGCCGACAAUACACGGGGCUAAGCUGGACACCGAAGCGGCGGGAUUUUGAUUUUCAGAAUCGGUAGGGGAGCUUCCCAUGGGCGGGGAAGCCGCCGGGCGACCGGCGGUGGAGCGCAUGGGAGUGAGAAUGCUGGCAUGAGUAGCGAGAGACGAGAGAGUAACUCGUCCGCCGUGAACCCGAGGUUUCCUGGGCAAGGCUAAUCCUCCCAGGGUCAGUCGGGGGCUAAGGCGAGGCCGGGAGGCGUAGCCGACGCGCAGCAGGCAGACAUUCCUGCACCGCGCACGCGGCGCUACGACCGACGGGGCGACGGAUGGGGGUGGCUCGGCGGGGUUCUGGACGUCCCCGUGAUGGAGCGCGGCCCGCGGACCAGGGAAAUCCGGUCCGCACGAGGGCGAGGCUCCGGACGAAGCGAUUGAGCGAAGCGAGUGAGCCCGAGGUCCCUAGAAAAACCCCUAGGCAGGCGCGUGCGCGCCCGUACCGCAAACCGACACAGGUGGGUGGGUAGAACAUACCGAGGCGAUCGGGUCAACCAUGGUCAAGGAACUCGGCACAAUGGCCCCGUAACUUCGGGAGAAGGGGUGCCCGCGCGUACGUGAACCGGCUUGCCCGGGGAGCGGAGGCGGGCCGCAGUGGAGAGGCCCAAGCGACUGUUUACCAAAAACACAGGACUCUGCAGAAGCCGCAAGGCGACGUAUAGGGUCUGACGCCUGCCCGGUGCCGGAAGGUCACGCGGAGGAGUUAGCGCAUCGCGCGAAGCCCCGAAGCCAAGCCCCGGUA